GACGAACGCUGGCGGCGUGCUUAACACAUGCAAGUCGAACGGUCCUGUUUUUGAAGCGCUUCGGCGUGGAGGGAGCGGGUUAGUGGCGCACGGGUGAGUAAUGCGCGAGGACCUGCCCGCGGGAGGGGGACAGCAGUUGGAAACGGCUGGUGAUACCCCGUAAGCCGGGAGGUAAAAGGGCGGAGACGCCCGCCUGCGGAUGGACUCGCGUCCUAUCAGCUAGUUGGUGAGGCAACGGCUCACCAAGGCGACGACGGGUAGCCGGCCUGAGAGGGUGUCCGGCCACACUGGAACUGAGACACGGUCCAGACUCCUACGGGAGGCAGCAGGUGGGGAAUUUUGGGCAAUGGGGGAGACCCUGACCCAGCGACGCCGCGUGAGGGACGAAGGCCCUUGGGUCGUAAACCUCUUUUUGCAGGGGAAGAAGAAGAUGACGGUACCUUGCGAACAAGUCCCGGCUAACUACGUG
RNAcentral lists this ribosomal RNA (469 nucleotides) under uncultured bacterium. RNAcentral describes it as "bacterial SSU rRNA". It matches the Rfam family "Bacterial small subunit ribosomal RNA", at positions 28 to 507 of the family's 1533-position model. The record is from RNAcentral.